UACAGAGGUGGCAAGCGUUGUUCGGAAUUACUGGGCGUAAAGGGCGCGUAGGCGGUCUUUUAAGUCUUGUGUGAAAUCCCUCGGCUCAACUGAGGAACUGCACGGGAUACUGGAAGACUUGAGUUUGGGAGAGGGAAGCGGAAUUCCGGGUGUAGCGGUGAAAUGCGUAGAUAUCCGGAGGAACACCGGUGGCGAAGGCGGCUUCCUGGACCGAUUACUGACGCUGAGGCGCGAAAGCUAGGGGAGCAAACGGG
Molecule: ribosomal RNA, 254 nt
Filed under: uncultured bacterium
Lineage: Bacteria
Description: partial 16S ribosomal RNA
Rfam family: Bacterial small subunit ribosomal RNA
Source: RNAcentral